This 497-nucleotide ribosomal RNA is filed under the name uncultured bacterium. RNAcentral describes it as "partial 16S ribosomal RNA". It matches the Rfam family "Bacterial small subunit ribosomal RNA", at positions 30 to 507 of the family's 1533-position model. The record is from RNAcentral.
AUUGAACGCUGGCGGCAUGCCUAACACAUGCAAGUCGAACGGUCACAGGAAGAGGCUUGCUUCUUUGCUGACGAGUGGCGGACGGGUGUGUCAUGUCUGGGAAACUGCCUGAUGGCUGGGGUUAACUACUGGAAACGGUAGCUAAUACCGCAUAACGUCUCAACACCAAGGAUGGGGACUUUCGGGCGUCUUUCCAUUCACUUUUCCCUGAUUCGAGUCGGCAUUAGCUAGUUGGUAGGGUAACGGCGUACCAAGGCAACGAUUCAUAGCCGGUCUGAGAGGAUGACCGGCCACACUGGAACUGAGACACGGUCCAGACUCCUACGGGAGGCAGCAGUAGGGAAUAUUGCGCAAUGGGCGCAAGCCUGAUGGAGCCAUGCCGCGUGUAUGAAGAAGGUCUUCGGAUUGUAAAGCACUUUCAGCGGGGAAGAACAGAGGAAAGUGAAUACCUGUACUUAUUGACGUUACCUAAACAAAAAGCCCCGGCUAACUCCGUG